CCUACGGGAGGCAGCAGUGGGGGAUAUUGCACAAUGGAGGAAACUCUGAUGCAGCGACGCCGCGUGAGGGAAGACGGUCUUCGGAUUGUAAACCUUUGUUUUUGGGGAAGAAAAUGACGGUACCCAAAGAGGAAGCUCCGGCUAACUACGUGCCAGCAGCCGCGGUAAUACGUAGGGAGCGAGCGUUGUCCGGAAUUACUGGGUGUAAAGGGGGCGUAGGCGGGCGAGAAAGUUGAAUGUUAAAUCUACCGGCUUAACUGGUAGCUGCGUUCAAAACUUCUUGUCUUGAGUGGAGGAGAGGCAGGCGGAAUUCGUGGUGUAGCGGUGAAAUGCAUAGAUAUUAGGAAGAACACCGGUGGCGAAGGCAGCCUGCUGGGCUUUAACUGACGCUGAGGCUCGAAAGCGUGGGGAGCGAACAGGAUUAGAUACCCGUGUAGUC
Molecule: ribosomal RNA, 439 nt
Filed under: uncultured bacterium
Lineage: Bacteria
Description: partial 16S ribosomal RNA
Rfam family: Bacterial small subunit ribosomal RNA
Source: RNAcentral